This 253-nucleotide ribosomal RNA is filed under the name uncultured bacterium. Its description in RNAcentral is "partial 16S ribosomal RNA". It matches the Rfam family "Bacterial small subunit ribosomal RNA", at positions 524 to 776 of the family's 1533-position model. The record is from RNAcentral.
UACAGAGGGUGCAAGCGUUAAUCGGAAUUACUGGGCGUAAAGCGUGCGUAGGUGGUUCGUUAAGUCUGAUGUGAAAGCCCUGGGCUCAACCUGGGAAUGGCAUUGGAUACUGGCGACCUAGAGUGCGGUAGAGGGUGGCGGAAUUCCCGGUGUAGCAGUGAAAUGCGUAGAUAUCGGGAGGAACAUCCGUGGCGAAGGCGGCCACCUGGACCAGCACUGACACUGAGGCACGAAAGCGUGGGGAGCAAACAGG